AGACACAGACCAUCAGGGAGGUCCUCCUAAAGACACAGACCACCAGGGAGGUACUACUGAAGACACAGACCACCAGGGAGGUCCUCCUGAAGACACAGACCACCAGGGAGGUCCUACUGAAGACAAAGACCACCAGGAGGUCCUCCUAAA
Long non-coding RNA from Oncorhynchus keta (chum salmon), 150 nucleotides. RefSeq lists it as uncharacterized. The record is from RefSeq and is a predicted model, not a curated record. Lineage: Eukaryota; Metazoa; Chordata; Actinopteri; Salmoniformes; Salmonidae. The transcript is spliced from 3 exons.